CCGUGCCGUGACGCCAAACUCCUCGGUCAUGUCCAGAUCCUCGGCCGCCGCCCCGCCUGGCAGCUCCCAGUCGAAGUGGAACAGCAGCGCCGCGAGCGCGAGCUCCACGUGCGCCAGCCCGAAAGCCAUGCCGGGGCAUAUCCUCCUCCCGCCGCCGAACGGCACGAACUCGAAGUCCGCCCCCUUGAAGUCCCUCCCGUUCUGCUCGAACCGCUCCGGUGCGAACUCCUCGGGUGCCUCCCAGUGCGCCGGGUCCAUGCCGAUCGCCCACGCGUUCACGAUCACCAUGACCCCCUCCGGCACGUCCAGGCCCAGAACCUGACACGGGCUCCCGCACCUACGCGGCAGCAGCAAUGGCGCCGGCGGGUGCAUCCUCAGCGUCUCCUUGAUGACAAACCCAAGGUAUCGCAGAUCUGCCAGGUCGGCCUCCCUCACCUUGUCGUGCCCGGCGAGUUGCUGCCGGACCUCGUCUUGCGCCUUCCGCAUAACCCGCGGGUUCCGUAUCAGCUCCGCCAUCGCCCACUGCAGCGUCGUCGCCGACGUCUCGCUGCCGGCGCCAAACAUCAUGACGGUCUUGAUGUUGUCAGUGGUGAGUGGAUACUGCGAGUCCCCUUCCUUUUGGAGUCUCAGGAGCACGUCGAGCAAGUCUUCUUCUUUGUCGCCGUCGCAGUCGGGGCCGCUGUUCUCCUGGUGCUCUUGGAUGAUGGUGUCCAUGAACAGCUUCAUGUCUUGGCUAUGGCGCUGUAUCCUGCCGGGGACGCUGCUAAGGAGCCGCACGAGACGCGAGGAGGGGAAAAUGUCGGGAAGGGUCAUCCCGGGCACGAUUUUGAGUCCCUCUUGCAGCAUCUCCAGGUACGUGUCCCUCUGCUUGAACCGGCUGCCGACGAUGGCGCGCACCGUAGAAUCCGCGACGUACGCCGAUAUGCGCUCGCUCAGGUUCACCGGCGAAGACGAGGCAGAAGCCGCCGCGACGGAGCGGAGGAGGCGACCGAGCUCCUCCUCGCGGGCGGGGCGGAAGGACUGGACGCGGCGGGAGCUGAAGAUCUCGACAGUGCAUAUCUUGCGAAGCUGCCGCCAUGCGUCGCCGUAGGGCGCGAAGAUGAGGCCCUCGGCGUCGCCGUACGCCAUCUGCUGCAUCGACGUCAGAGGCCUGGACGCGAAGGAAGCGUCGUGGGUCUUCAUGAUCUCGCGCGCGGCGUCAGGGGACGACGCGACCACGGCGUCGAGCUCGCCGAGGCGGAGCAUCAUGAGCGGGCCGUGGCGCCGCGCGAGGUCGCGCAGAGCACGGUGCGGAAGGGCGCCGGCGAGAUGGUGCAGGUGACCGAUGACCGGGAGCGCCCAUGGCCCUGGCGG
Molecule: ribosomal RNA, 1353 nt
Filed under: Triticum aestivum (bread wheat)
Lineage: Eukaryota; Viridiplantae; Streptophyta; Magnoliopsida; Poales; Poaceae
Description: partial small subunit ribosomal RNA
Source: RNAcentral